CACAACUGGUCGCAAAUCCUUUGUGAGGAUGCUAGAACAAAAGCGUGCUGAAAAUGCAAAUUUGGUGGACUUCUACAAGGAAACCCACUGGUCCAAGAAGAAAGAUAAAUUUGUGACACCUGCUACCGAAGACAUUUAUAAGGAUAUGGUAGGAAAGCUGGAUAA
Molecule: long non-coding RNA, 165 nt
Organism: Juglans microcarpa x Juglans regia
Lineage: Eukaryota; Viridiplantae; Streptophyta; Magnoliopsida; Fagales; Juglandaceae
Exons: 3
Source: RefSeq, a predicted model, not a curated record